GCCUAGUUAGCUUAGUUGGUAGUGCGUCUGCCUUGUAAGCGCUAGGUCGCGUGUUCGAUUCCCGCUCGGGGCG
This 73-nucleotide transfer RNA is filed under the name Diaphorina citri (Asian citrus psyllid). It matches the Rfam family "tRNA". Rfam says of the family: Transfer RNA (tRNA) molecules are approximately 80 nucleotides in length. Their secondary structure includes four short double-helical elements and three loops (D, anti-codon, and T loops). The record is from Rfam by way of RNAcentral. Lineage: Eukaryota; Metazoa; Arthropoda; Insecta; Hemiptera; Psyllidae.